This 681-nucleotide ribosomal RNA is filed under the name uncultured Fusobacteriota bacterium. RNAcentral describes it as "bacterial SSU rRNA". It matches the Rfam family "Bacterial small subunit ribosomal RNA", at positions 50 to 747 of the family's 1533-position model. The record is from RNAcentral. Lineage: Bacteria; Fusobacteriati; Fusobacteriota.
AACACAUGCAAGUCGAUGGGGAAGUGGUGCUUGCACCAUGGUAACCAUGGCGGACGGGUGAGUAACGCGUAAGGAACUUGCCUGCGGGACUGGGAUAACAGCAGGAAACUGCUGAUAAUACCGGAUAAGGUCAUUAAGCUGCAUAGCUUAGUGAUGAAAGGAGACGCCUGCGGAGAGCCUUGCGUCCUAUUAGCUAGUUGGAGGGGUAACGGCCCACCAAGGCGAAGAUAGGUAGCCGGCCUGAGAGGGUGGACGGCCACAAGGGGACUGAGAUACGGCCCUUACUCCUACGGGAGGCAGCAGUGGGGAAUAUUGGACAAUGGGGGCAACCCUGAUCCAGCAAUUCUGUGUGCACGAAGACGGUUUUCGGAUUGUAAAGUGCUUUCAGCAGGGAAGAAGGAAGUGACGGUACCUGCAGAAGAAGCGACGGCUAAAUACGUGCCAGCAGCCGCGGUAAUACGUAUGUCGCGAGCGUUAUCCGGAAUUAUUGGGCAUAAAGGGCAUCUAGGCGGCCUUUCAAGUCAGGGGUGAAAACCUGCGGCUCAACCGCAGGCCUGCCUUUGAAACUGAUAGGCUGGAGUACCGGAGAGGUGGACGGAACUGCACGAGUAGAGGUGAAAUUCGUAGAUAUGUGCAGGAAUGCCGAUGAUGAAGAUAGUUCACUGGACGGUAACUGACGCU